RNAcentral lists this unclassified non-coding RNA (238 nucleotides) under Ambisporaceae sp. RNAcentral's name for it is "partial contains 5.8S ribosomal RNA and internal transcribed spacer 2". The stretch from base 1 to 71 matches the Rfam family "5.8S ribosomal RNA", at positions 84 to 154 of the family's 154-position model. The record is from RNAcentral. Lineage: Eukaryota; Fungi; Glomeromycota; Glomeromycetes; Archaeosporales; Ambisporaceae.
GUGAAUCAUCAAAUUUUUGAACGCAUAUUGCACUCUUUGGUAUUCCGGAGAGUAUGCCUAUUUGAGGGUCAUUUGAAAUAUUAUAAAUUCCAUGAUUUCUCGGAAUUUAAAAUUGGUUUUCCUUUUUUUUUGGUCGCCUAAAAUCCAGGACAAGCUCAUUGUCUUGGGUUGCGUGAUACUUUCAGUUACUUCGUGACUUAACCAGGAAUCAUCAUUAUGGCUAUUAAUUUUGUUUUAA